ACUCCUACGGGAGGCAGCAGUGGGGAAUAUUGCACAAUGGGCGCAAGCCUGAUGCAGCCAUGCCGCGUGUAUGAAGAAGGCCUUGGGUUGUAAAGUACUUUCAGCAGUGAGGAAGGGUGGGGUAUGUUAAUAGCAUAUUCUAUUUGUACGUUAGCUGCAGAAGAAGCACCGGCUAACUCCGUGCCAGCAGCCGCGGUAAUACGGAGGGUGCGAGCGUUAAUCGGAAUUACUGGGCGUAAAGCGCAUGCAGGUGGUUUGUUAAGUCAGAUGUGAAAGCCCGGGGCUCAACCUCGGAAUUGCAUUUGAAACUGGCAAACUAGAGUACUGUAGAGGGGGUAGAAUUUCAGGUGUAGCGGUGAAAUGCGUAGAGAUCUGAAGGAUACCGGUGGCGAAGGCGGCCCCUGGACAGAUACUGACACUCAGAUGCGAAAGCGUGGGAGCAAACAGGAUUAGAUACCCCGUGUAGGUCAGU
This 472-nucleotide ribosomal RNA is filed under the name uncultured bacterium. RNAcentral's name for it is "bacterial SSU rRNA". It matches the Rfam family "Bacterial small subunit ribosomal RNA", at positions 335 to 798 of the family's 1533-position model. The record is from RNAcentral.